Molecule: small RNA, 396 nt
Filed under: Pongo abelii (Sumatran orangutan)
Lineage: Eukaryota; Metazoa; Chordata; Mammalia; Primates; Hominidae
Description: sense intronic
Source: RNAcentral
ACUUACUUCUCAACAAAAUCCAGCAAACUAUAACAGAUCAGUAGUUAUUAACCAGGGGCAAUUUUGUCCCCAGGGACAGUAUCAGGAGACAUUUUUAAUUGUCACAACUGGCAGUGCUGAGGAGUGGCUCUGGUGUCCAGUGGGUAGGGGCCUUGGAUGCUGCUAAACAUCCUACAAAGUACAGGACAGCCUCCCACAACAAAGAAUGAUCCCACCCAAAAGGCUAAUAGUACCAACAAUGGGAAUCCUUGGCACAGACCUAGGUAUAGUAAGUCUGAAAAAGCCAGGAUCUACAUGCAGCCAGGCCUCCAUAUCUGCAGGUUCCACAUCAGCAGAUUCAACCAACUGUGGAUCAAAAAUAUUUGGAGAAAAAUAAAAACAAUAAAAAUAACAAUA